This 4826-nucleotide long non-coding RNA is filed under the name Nicotiana tabacum (common tobacco). Its description in RNAcentral is "long non-coding RNA (NTAB_LNC008710)". Lineage: Eukaryota; Viridiplantae; Streptophyta; Magnoliopsida; Solanales; Solanaceae. The record is from RNAcentral.
AGCCGGCAAACGUACCUCCUUAUGCUUGCAGCUCAAAGAAUUCAGACCUCGAGUCCCAGAAAUCUUUGCCACCAGUUGGGAAUGAUUUUCUUUUUCUUUUUCUUUAAGGAAUAGUACAUAAUAAGUGUUUUUAGUAGACAAAAUAUAAAAAAAUGACGUGGAAUAUGAUGUGUCAUCCACGUCAAGCAAGUGAGAUAAGAUGAAGGUUGAUAAACUGAGAAGCGUCAAAGCGUGAGUCUUGCUCACCUUUCCAGACUUAUAUUUAUAAGAUAAAGUUACAACAAUAUAUGGAAAGGAUAAUUACAAGAAUAAUUCAAAUAAAGUCCUAAUACAACUAAUUGACUAAAAGAUAAUGCUAACACCUUCCCUCAAUCUGAACGGAAAGAAUGAACGUGAAGAUUGGUUGUUAGCUCACAAAAACGGGUGGAAGGCAAUACUUUGGUGAAUAAAUCUGCAAGUUGCUUAGAGGUAUGAACAUGAGAGACCACCAGAUCACCAUGGCUAAUCUUUUCACGAACAAAAUAAUAAUCCAAUGCAACAUGUUUGGAACGAGAAUGAAAAAUUGGAUUGUGAGCUCGAUGAAUGGCUCCAAUAUUGUCACAUUUUGCGGAGACUGGAGAAGUAAGAAAAAUGCCAAGAUCACGAAGAAUAUAUUGGAGCCAAGUAGCUUCAGCAGUUGCAAUAGCAAAAGCUCGAUAUUCAGCUUCAGUACUUGAGCGUGCAACAGUAGGUUGCUUCUUAACCAAGAGAUGAGGUUGGAGCCAAGAAAAAUGCAGAAUUCAGUUGUAGACCGCCUAGUGGCUGAACAACCAGCCCAAUCCGAGUCAGAGAAAACAAUAAGUGCCAAGGGAGAAUUUUUAUACAAUUGUAAGCCCCAAUCGAUGGUGCCACUAAGAUACCGGAAAUCCAUUUUACGGCCUGAAAAUGCAAUUGUCUUGGCUGGUGAAGGAAUUGAGAAGCAAGGUUAACAUCAAAUUGAAUAUCUGGCCUAGUAAAGGGCAAGUAUUGUAGACUUACAAUCAUUUGGCGAUAGAUAGAAGGAUCUUCAAGCAAAGGAGAAGAGGUGGAAUUCCAAUCAAGCUCACUAUGAAGCGGAGUAAGCAUUGGUUUAUACUUUUCCAAUUUAAAGCGAUGUAGAAUUGAAGUAAUGUAACGACGCUGCAGUAAGAGAAGUCCCAAAGAGUUAUGUUUUAACUCAAUGCCAAGAAAGUAGUGAAGUUGUCCCAAGUCCUUCAUUGAGAAUUCUGUACUCAUGGAAGAGAUAAAUUAUGAUAUUAAGGACUUUGAAGAACCAAAAACAGUUAUAUCAUUCACAUAAAUUAAAAGAAUAAUGCAAUCACCCCAGAGUGAAAAAUGAACAUGCUUUGAUCCGAAACAUAUUACUUAAAAUCGAGAUCAAGAAGAAAACGAGCAAGACAAUGGAACCAAGCCCUCGGAGAUUGUUUAAGACCAUAUAGAGCACGUUGCAAUUUGCAGACAUAAUGGGGAUAAUCUGGAUGCUCAAACCCCUUAGGUUGACGCAUAUAAACAGUCUCAGAUAACUCACCAUGAAGGAAUGCAUUUGACACAUCGAGUUGGUGCAUGAACCAAUUUCGCUGAAGAGCCAAGGAUAAGACCAAACGCAUUGUACUAGGUUUUACUACAGGAGCAAAAGUUUCAAAAUAAUCCACUCCAGGCUGCUGCGAAAAAUCUUAAGCCACUAGAUGAGCUUUAAAUCUUUCAACAGAGCCAUUUGCACAAACUUUGAUUCGAAACACCCAUUUGUUGCCAACAAUAUUUGCAUUAGGAGGAGGAGGCAGUCCAAGUAUUAUUUUAAAUGAGAGCAUCGAAUUCAGAACUCAUUGCUUGCAUCCAACGAGUGUAUUUAGAAGCUUGAGCAAAGGAGGACGGUUCAGAUAAAAUGGGACAUGUAGAAUCCAUCAAGGAAGGAAGAAUGUGUGGCUUGAGGGACCCUGUUUUAGAGCGAGUAGUCAUAUGAUGAGUUUGAGGUUGUACAGUUGUUGAUUGUGUGCGAGAUACUUAAAAAAUGUCGGGUGAAGAAAGAGUUGGCGUAUAAUGUGCAUGAGAUGAAGAAUCAUGUACAAUAGGAGGGAGAGAGGAGCAACUCGAAGUGGAUACAAUAAGUUGGUUAGUAGAAGUUACGCGAUCUAAAGGUGAUUGAGAAUGGGAAGGAGAAGGAGUGCCUGGUGAAGAAGGAGAAAGGCUAGAAAUAUUCUCGUGAUUCAAAGGAGUUUGAAGACUCCUAUUGGAAAUGUGAUGCUGCAAAUUAGGUGAAGUAGGAUGACUGUUCCCAUGUAAAAUAGGACUCUACAAAGUUGGAGGAAGUAGAAGAUUUUUCCUAUUUGAAAUAGGUUGUUGCGAAACGGGAGGGGGGAAAUUCCACCAAGACGUGUGAGAUGGACGGGAUAUUUAGAAUUAGGUGAGGUACUUGGAGAAGGAGUAGGAAAUAGAGUCUGAAACGGGAAUGAGUCCUCAACAAAAUGGACAUGCCGAGAGAUAAUAAUCCUAUUUGAGCAAGGGUCCAAACAUCUAAAUCCUUUGUGUUUAUCCGACGAACCAAGAAAUAAGCAAGGUUUUGAUCGAGGUUGAAACUAAGAACAAUGAUUAAAUGCCACAAAGGGAUAACAUAGGCACCCAAAUACAUGAAUUAAAUUAUAAUCUGGCAAAGGACCAUAGAGUAGUUCAAACGGAGAUUUAAAACGCAGCACUGGAAGAGGAGUAACAUUAAUAAGGGAGACAACAUAUAAACAAGCAUCAACCCAAAAUUGAAAAGACAUAGAUGCUUGAAAGAUAAGACACCGUAGGACAUUCGCAAUAUAUCGAUGUUUUCGCUCGGCCCUACCAGUUUGAGCAGAAAUGUGAGGACAAGAAAAACGAUGGACUAUGCCAUUUUGUUUAAAGAAUGAACUAAAUUUUUUGUCAAUGUAUUCCCACCUCCAUCGGACUGGAAAUAAGAAAUAGAAGUGUGGAAAACAUUUUUAACCAUUGCAUAAAAUUCUUUGAAUUUGUCAAAGGAUUCAGAUUUUUCGCGCAUCAAGUAGACCCAAGAGAAUUUAGUGUAAUCAUCGAGGAACAAAAUAUAAUAACGAUAUCCUGAAUUUGAGACAAUAGGAGCAUGCCAUACAUCUGAAUGAAUUAAAACGAAUGGAAAAUUUGCAUUACUACUUGAUAAAGGAAAAGACAUUCUAGUUUGUUUGCCUAAAUGGCAAACAUUACAAGAAUUAUUGUUGAUGGAAGAAGUACUUCGAAUUAAAUUUCUAGAAACUAACUAACUAAGAGACUCUCAACCAGGAUGUCCCAAACGUUGGUGCCAAAGGAAGAAGGCAAGACUUUAGCAAAGAGACCAAAGAUGGAGGAGGCAGAUGGAGCAACACGUAGAGGAUAAAGAGACCCAGAAUUGUUACAGUGGAGCAACGGUGUCCUGGUCUUCAAGUCCUUGACAAAAAAACCAGAGUUAGUAAAUUCAAUAAGACAAUUAUUAUCAGCACACAAACGUUGAAUAGAAAGCAGAUUUUUAGCAAGGGAUGGAACAUAUAAAACUUUCUUUAAGAGAAGAGGCUUAGAAGUUGUUGGAAGGAUAGAGGAACCAGUAGAUUUAAUUGAGAGAAGAGUACCAUCUCCAACCAUGACUUGAGAAGGACCAGAAUAAGGAGUGUGAGACGUAAGAGUAGAAGGAUCUUUUGUCAUGUGCACAGAUGCCCCAGAGUCUGGGUACCAAACUGUUGGUUGAACUUCCUCCAAAUUCAUUGCAGCAAAUGGUUUAGGAAUAUUGUUAGCCACAAAGGAAUGGUUCAACCUGUUUCUGCACUCCAACGCAGUGUGAUUAUAAUGAAAACAAAUUUGACAUUGUUUAGUAGGAACAAAAGGUGGUCUACCCAAAAUACCAGUAGCAGGGGAAGGAGGCCGAGAUUGAGGUUGGAAACCAGACCAUGAAGAGUUGUGGUAUCCUCGACCCCUACCAUAUUGUCCCUUGUUAUUUUUGCCACGACCUCGUCCAUGGAAGUAUCCUUUUGUAGGCUGAUUUCCAUUGAAGGGAGAUGAUGAAUUAGAAGUGGUCUUCGCUUGAGUUGACGCAAGCAACGCAGUUUGAUCAUUUGACUCUUCAGAAUCAAUUACAUUAAUAUGAGCUUCUUCGGUGAGAAGUAGUGGUCGUAAUGCAAUAAAAGAAGGAAGUGAGCCAGUAGCAUUUAAUCCAGACACAAAGGUACGAUAAGAUGAAGGCAAUCCUUGCAAAGUUUGAGUGACUAAAUCAUCAUCAAUCAGAGGUUACCAAUUGCCCUGAGAGAGUAGGCAAUAGAGUGAAGUUGCUAAAGAUAAUCUUCCAUAGAAAGGGGACCUUUCUUGAAAUUUUGGAAUUUCGACUUAAGGUGAAUGGAUGAGGAAGAGACUUGAUCCAAAUAUAGCGAUGCGAGGGUGUCCCAAGCCUAUUUAGAUGUCUCACAAGUAUAGUUCAAAAGUGUGUCAAGAACAAUAGAAGAAAGUGUUGCAUUAAUCCAACUUAAUGCAAUAGUAUCCAAUUGAAUCCAAAGCUUGUAAUCAGCGCGGUCUGGUGAUGGACAUGGUAUGGUUCCAUCUACUAAGGAAAGAAGGUUGUGACUUUUAAGGACAGUGAGAAAAACUCUCUUCCAGGUGAGGUAAUUGACAUAUGUCAAUUCGAUAGAAACAAAACCUUUGAUAUUGGAAACUGUUGGAGGGGGGAUGGGGAGGCCAAGAGAAGAUUGAUUCAUGGCGGUUUGAGCAGAAGAGGAAGAAGAAUUUUCUAGAGCCAUUGAAGGGGAUCGUUUAGGGCUCUGAUACCAAGAUGAAGGUUGAUAAACUGAGAAGCG